UUUAAUUUUUAAAAGUAUAGCCGCACGGCUAUAAAACGCCCAGGGCCCAGGUGCCACGUGUCAAAUGAGUAAAGCCGAGCGGCUAUACUAUUUUUGGCAAAAAAAGGAAGAUGAGUACAGCCGCGCGGCUGUACUAUUUCUGAAAAAAUUUCAAAAAGAAUCUGGUAUAGCCGGGCGGCUAUACUGUAUAUGCAUGCACACAGACCCGCCCAGUGUUUAUACACCACGCGUCAAGGAGUAGAGCCGGUUUUUGGUUUUAAAAAAGUAUAGCCGCGCGGCUAUACUAUUUUGAAAAUCAAUUCAGGGGAAAACUGGGUAUAGCCGAACGGCUAUACUAUUUUGUUUUUAGUGUAUAUCAUUUUUUUUUUAUUCAAUAAUAUGUGAGAAUUAUGUGUUCAAUGGUUAAUUAAUACAUAUUCAAUUAAUCAAAAGGUUGGCCUUGGGCCUUUGGGCUCUUGGGGUCGGUGAUUUAAAUUAAACCCGAUUAGUUAAUUAAUUAUUUUCAAAUAAUGUUUUGAAUUUCAUCCUUCUAUUUGUUGUUUAAAAUAUAAUUACUAAUGAAAGUAAUAAGAAAAGGCUAACAUACUACUUAAUUACAUAUAUUAAAUUAAAGAAGUGGGCCAAAAAACAAAAGUUAAGACACUAAUUUUAUCUUUUUUAAUUUGUUUUUUUAAAAAAAAUUUCAAAGAUUAAAUUUUAAUUUUUAAAAGUAUAGCCGCACGGCUAUACAACGCCCAGGGCCCAGGUGCCACGUGUCAAAUGAGUAAAGCCGAGCGGCUAUACUAUUUUUGGCAAAAAAAGGAAGAUGAGUACAGCCGCGCGGCUGUACUAUUUCUGAAAAAAUUUCAAAAAGAAUCUGGUAUAGCCGGGCGGCUAUACUGUAUAUGCAUGCACACAGACCCGCCCAGUGCUGAUGCGCCACGCGUCAAAGGAGUAGAGCCGGUUUUUGGUUUUAGAAAAGUAUAGCCGCGCGGCUAUACUAUUUUGAAAAUCAAUUCAGGGGAAAACUGGGUAUAGCCGAACGGCUAUACUAUUUUGUUUUUAGUGUAUAUCAUUUUUUUUUUAUUCAAUAAUAUGUGAG
Molecule: long non-coding RNA, 1081 nt
Filed under: Prunus persica (peach)
Lineage: Eukaryota; Viridiplantae; Streptophyta; Magnoliopsida; Rosales; Rosaceae
Description: long non-coding RNA (PPER_LNC002993)
Source: RNAcentral